This 200-nucleotide unclassified non-coding RNA is filed under the name Sordariomycetes sp. Its description in RNAcentral is "partial internal transcribed spacer 2". Lineage: Eukaryota; Fungi; Ascomycota; Sordariomycetes. The record is from RNAcentral.
UUAAGUUCAGCGGGUAUUCCUACCUGAUCCGAGGUCGAGGGUCUCAUGCAGUGGGGGUUUUACGGCCGGAGGCCGCCGCCGCGCCGGAGCGAGGCGCUGUACUGCGCUCGGCGCGGCGGCGGUCCCGCCACUGGAUUUGGGGGCCGCGGCGGCCGCGGCGCCCCAACACAAGCCGGGCUUGACGUGUAGCGGGUGACGCU